AGCCAGCUGACAGUCCUGACUUUAUAAACCCAUUGUUAGAAGGUGCUGAUUAUAUAGAUGGUCAACUGUGGGUGGCCGGUAACAGGGUUCUAAUAAACCUCAAUCUCUCACGAAACAAGAUUGGUGAGACAGGCCUUGAGGCCCUACUGAAGGCCAUGCAGUAUCAAACAACAUUGUGUAUGGAAAACAAAAGUACCGGAACAGGGCUUAUGAGAUUAUUAGUCGGGAAGAACAAGGUACGAUCCAGCCAUGAGUUACUACAGAAGAUUACAGAUAUCAUGCUACCUAAAGAUCCUUUCUAUAAACCUCCACCACAGACCCCGGAUGUUACUGAGGCUUAAACACAAAUACAGAUUUAUUUACUUUAAUAUAGUUACAACACCUUAAUUGAAUGAUUUGGAAAAAAUUCUUUGACUGGAUUCCCAGAAAAAAAUCUUUUAUUGGAUUCAAUGGAAAUUUUUUUUUACUGGAUUUUUGGAAAAAAAAAAAUUUUGAUUUCUAAGACUGUUUGAUUGGAUUCCUUGGAAAAGAAGUUCUUUAAUUGCGUUCCUUGGAAAAAUUCUUUUAUUGGAUUCCUUGAAAAAAUUCUUUUACUUGAUUCCUUGGGAAAAUUAUUUUAUUGGAUUCCAUGGAAAAAUUCUUUCAUUGGAUUCCUUAAAAUAUUUUGACUGGAUUCUGUAGAAAAAUUCUUUGAAGUCAUAAUUCUUUGAAAAUUUUAAAAGAUUUUGAAAAAUAAAGAUAGUGUAUGAACUGGAAAAUGAAACAGCUAUCUUCUGAUAUCGUUAAACGUGUUUAUGAAUGUGAUAACAAAAACUGUGAUUUUUAGAUAUAAUAAAUCAGUGCAGAAUUUUGUCAUAAUUUGUUCUAUGCUGAAUUUAAGGUCAACAUUAAAACAUGAUAUAUUAGUAAUACUUAUAUCAAUAUAUAUAUGUGUUAAAUAAACAAAGUUAUUAUAAAAUGUGCUAAAAUGUUAAAUGUAAAAGCCUAUAGCUAUAACUUGGCUUUUAAAUUAUUUUAGAAGUUUAGUCAACAUUAACACAUAUAAUACUAGUAUAAAGCCUAACAUUGUUGAAAUGUGUGAAAUUUGAACGGAAAAGUGUAUAUCUUAUAAAGGUUACUUUCUGUUAAAUGUUAGAUAAUAAUUCUAGGAUAAUGAAUAUGCAACUUAUUGAAAUAAUGUUGUCUUUUAUGUAAUAAACUUUAAAACACUCGCAUUAACAUUUAUAGAAAAGUUUUUUGUUAUUUUUUUUAAAACGUCCAUAUUUUCUGUGAUAAUGUUUGUUUCUUAUGUUCAGAGUUAUUUAUAUAUGUACAUGUUU
Long non-coding RNA from Ruditapes philippinarum (Manila clam), 1319 nucleotides. RefSeq lists it as uncharacterized. The transcript has 3 exons. Lineage: Eukaryota; Metazoa; Mollusca; Bivalvia; Venerida; Veneridae. The record is from RefSeq and is a predicted model, not a curated record.